AGAGUUUGAUCCUGGCUCAGAUUGAACGCUGGCGGCAUGCCUUACACAUGCAAGUCGAACGGCAGCACGAGAGCUUGCUCUUGGUGGCGAGUGGCGAACGGGUGAGUAAUAUAUCGGAACGUACCCUAGAGUGGGGGAUAACGUAGCGAAAGUUACGCUAAUACCGCAUACGAUCUACGGAUGAAAGUGGGGGAUCGCAAGACCUCAUGCUCAUGGAGCGGCCGAUAUCUGAUUAGCUAGUUGGUGGGGUAAAAGUUCACCAAGGCGACGAUCAGUAGCUGGUCUGAGAGGACGACCAGCCACACUGGAACUGAGACACGGUCCAGACUCCUACGGGAGGCAGCAGUGGGGAAUUUUGGACAAUGGGCGCAAGCCUGAUCCAGCAAUGCCGCGUGAGUGAAGAAGGCCUUCGGGUUGUAAAGCUCUUUUGUCAGGGAAGAAACGGUGGACUCUAAUACAGAUCACUAAUGACGGUACCUGAAGAAUAAGCACCGGCUAACUACGUGCCAGCAGCCGCGGUAAUACGUAGGGUGCAAGCGUUAAUCGGAAUUACUGGGCGUAAAGCGUGCGCAGGCGGUUGUGCAAGACAGAUGUGAAAUCCCCGGGCUCAACCUGGGAAUUGCAUUUGUGACUGCACGGCUAGAGUGUGUCAGAGGGGGGUAGAAUUCCACGUGUAGCAGUGAAAUGCGUAGAGAUGUGGAGGAAUACCGAUGGCGAAGGCAGCCCCCUGGGAUAACACUGACGCUCAUGCACGAAAGCGUGGGGAGCAAACAGGAUUAGAUACCCUGGUAGUCCACGCCCUAAACGAUGUCUACUAGUUGUCGGGUCUUAAUUGACUUGGUAACGCAGCUAACGCGUGAAGUAGACCGCCUGGGGAGUACGGUCGCAAGAUUAAAACUCAAAGGAAUUGACGGGGACCCGCACAAGCGGUGGAUGAUGUGGAUUAAUUCGAUGCAACGCGAAAAACCUUACCUACCCUUGACAUGUCUGGAAUCCUUGAGAGAUCAGGGAGUGCUCGAAAGAGAAUCAGAACACAGGUGCUGCAUGGCUGUCGUCAGCUCGUGUCGUGAGAUGUUGGGUUAAGUCCCGCAACGAGCGCAACCCUUGUCAUUAGUUGCUACGAAAGGGCACUCUAAUGAGACUGCCGGUGACAAACCGGAGGAAGGUGGGGAUGACGUCAAGUCCUCAUGGCCCUUAUGGGUAGGGCUUCACACGUCAUACAAUGGUACAUACAGAGGGCCGCCAACCCGCGAGGGGGAGCUAAUCCCAGAAAGUGUAUCGUAGUCCGGAUUGUAGUCUGCAACUCGACUACAUGAAGUUGGAAUCGCUAGUAAUCGCGGAUCAGCAUGUCGCGGUGAAUACGUUCCCGGGUCUUGUACACACCGCCCGUCACACCAUGGGAGCGGGUUUCACCAGAAGUGGGUAGCCUAACCGCAAGGAGGGCGCUCACCACGGUGGGAUUCGUGACUGGGGUGAAGUCGUAACAAGGUA
Molecule: ribosomal RNA, 1491 nt
Filed under: metagenome
Description: bacterial SSU rRNA
Rfam family: Bacterial small subunit ribosomal RNA
Source: RNAcentral